AUACGGAGGGUGCAAGCGUUACUCGGAAUCACAGGGCGUAAAGCGCGCGCAGGCGGUCUUUUAAGUUGGAUGUGAAAGCCUACGGCUCAACCGUAGAACUGCAUCCAAAACUAUUAGACUAGAGUGUGGGAGAGGAAGAUGGAAUUAGUUGUGUAGGGGUAAAAUCCGUAGAGAUAACUAGGAAUACCAAAAGCGAAGGCAAUCUUCUGGAACACUACUGACGCUGAGGCGCGAAAGCGUGGGGAGCAAACAGGAUUAGAAACCCCAGUAGUCC
Molecule: ribosomal RNA, 274 nt
Filed under: uncultured bacterium
Lineage: Bacteria
Description: partial 16S ribosomal RNA
Rfam family: Bacterial small subunit ribosomal RNA
Source: RNAcentral